RNAcentral lists this ribosomal RNA (433 nucleotides) under uncultured bacterium. RNAcentral describes it as "partial 16S ribosomal RNA". It matches the Rfam family "Bacterial small subunit ribosomal RNA", at positions 29 to 507 of the family's 1533-position model. The record is from RNAcentral.
AACGAACGCUGGCGGCAUGCCUAACACAUGCAAGUCGAACGAGACCUUCGGGUCUAGUGGCGCACGGGUGCGUAACGCGUAGGAACCUGCCCUUAGGUUCGGAAUAACUCCCCGAAAGGGGUGCUAAUACCGGAUAAUGUCUUCGGACCAAAGAUUUAUCGCCUUUGGAUGGGCCCGCGUUGGAUUAGCUAGUUGGUAGGGUAAAAGCCUACCAAGGCGACGAUCCAUAGCUGGUCUGAGAGGAUGAUCAGCCACACUGGGACUGAGACACGGCCCAGACUCCUACGGGAGGCAGCAGUGGGGAAUACUGGACAAUGGGCGAAAGCCUGAUCCAGCAAUGCCGCGUGAGUGAUGAAGGCCUUAGGGUUGUAAAGCUCUUUUACCCGGGAUGAUAAUGACAGUACCGGGAGAAUAGGCUCCGGCUAACUCCGUG